GAACAAUAAUCAUAAAUAAAGUCUAGUAUACAUGGUAUGUUAUGUUAUACAAGAUGAUUGAUGCAUGAAAUUCUGAGCAAAAGGCAACACUGGCACUUGUAUAAAUAGUGUAUAAUAAUACAAGUUUGGGAACUAGAAUAACCAAGGAAGUAAUUGCGGUUGCAAUCUGGGCUAUGCUAAACGACACAUUCUAAAGAAACUCAAUUUUAAUCCUGAGCAUCUACUUGGAUGUGAGAAACCCCCAUAAUCUUAGAUAAUUCCCUGAUUGCAGCUUCAACCUGGGAAUCACCUGACUCGCCAGGAAACGACGUUCUUGAUGUCAUUCUACUGUAUUCAUUUGCAGCAACCGAUGUCUUCCGUGAAGUAGAAAGGGCCUUCUCCAAAUCUGCCUGCGAUAAAGGUCUAGGUUCCUGACACGAUUGUUCCCCAUUCUUCUCAUUAUGCAGUAUUUCUCUAAUAGGAAAAUAUGCGGCCUUCUUGCAAAGAUCAAAUAGAUCUGAACCAGUGUAACCCUUGCAUAAACCAGCUAUAUAACUGAAAUCUAUGUUAUCUUCAACCUUCUCCCCCUUUAAGAUAACCUUCAAUAUAUCAGCCCUCUCUUUCCGGUCUGGAUAUCCAAUUUCAAAGGCUUGA
This 633-nucleotide long non-coding RNA is filed under the name Medicago truncatula (barrel medic). RNAcentral describes it as "lncRNA gene18182". The record is from RNAcentral. Lineage: Eukaryota; Viridiplantae; Streptophyta; Magnoliopsida; Fabales; Fabaceae.